AGGACGAACGCUGGCGGCAUGCCUAACACAUGCAAGUCGAACGCUUUUGGGGCUUCGGUCCCAAAGGAGUGGCGCACGGGUGAGUAGCGCGUGGGAACCUGCCCUGUUGUGGGGGAUAACCGAGGGAAACUUCGGCUAAUACCGCAUACGCCCGGGGGAAACUCCGGGGAAAGAUUUAUCGCAGCAGGAGGGGCCCGCGUCGGAUUAGGUAGUUGGUGGGGUAACGGCCCACCAAGCCUGUGAUCCGUAGCUGGUCUGAGAGGAUGAUCAGCCACACUGGGACUGAGACACGGCCCAGACUCCUACGGGAGGCAGCAGUGGGGAAUAUUGGACAAUGGGCGCAAGCCUGAUCCAGCAAUGCCGCGUGAGUGAUGAAGGCCUUCGGGUUGUAAAGCUCUUUCGCACGCGACGAUGAUGACGGUAGCGUGAGAAGAAGCCCGGCUAACUUCGUGCCAGCAGCCGC
Molecule: ribosomal RNA, 463 nt
Filed under: uncultured bacterium
Lineage: Bacteria
Description: SSU rRNA
Rfam family: Bacterial small subunit ribosomal RNA
Source: RNAcentral